This is a long non-coding RNA of Gallus gallus (chicken), 9404 nucleotides long. The record is from Ensembl. Lineage: Eukaryota; Metazoa; Chordata; Aves; Galliformes; Phasianidae.
UUGCAGUAGGUGUUAACGGGGACUCGGGAUGUGACGCGAUAGGACCUUCCCUGCUCUGUGAUUUAAAUAUGACGUGUGCUUAGGAGGCGUAGACAAGGCAAGGUGUGUAUUUAAGGAGCGGCCACACUGUAAUAAAUGCCAUUUGCUAUAUCCUCAUAUAGGUGUCUGUGUAGCAAUGGCCCUAGCGAGGGUAGAUCGCUAGCCCCUGGCGGAAUGUGCCUCAGAAGCAGGAACAACAAAUGGUGCCCCGUGUGAGGAAGAAUAGGUCCGUCGCUCCCCAAUGUCCCAGGUGUUGCCUGAGAUCCGGUGAGGGAUCUGCUCCUGGCCAGGAGGAUGGAGUGGAGGAGAACAAGAUGGCAACUGUUUCCUGACCCACCCCUCGCCACUGUAUCCGGUCCGACCGACUCGACCCGGAUAUCCUUUUAUGGAGUUGAGGGCGCAUGCGACUGAUCAGGGGUCUCCACAACAGGGAGGACCUGUUUUGUUGGCUAUUUCAAGGGGUUGGCCGAUGGUGGUCAUUGACCUCAAGGUCUGCUUUUUCUCUAUCCCUCUCACAGAAGAGGACCGAGAAGCAUUUGCCUUCACGUUUCCGGUGACUAAUAAUGAAGGGCCUGCAGAGAGAUAUCAAUGGCGUGCCCUCCCUCAGGGAAUGAUGUGCUCCCCUACAGUGUGUCAACUAGUAGUGGGAAAUGUUCUGAAGGCGGUCUGAAAAGAUUUCCCUCAGUAUAUGGUUGUACAUUAUAUGGACAAUCUAUUGCUUGCUGCUCCCUCUUAUUUGGGGCUACAUAUGCUUGAGACUCGGGUAGUGGAAACCUUGACCACUGCCAGAUUUGUUAUCUCUGAACAAAAAUUGCAGAGGGGCCCGGGGGUUGAAUACCUCGGAUAUAAGUUUCGCCCAGAGAUGGUUCGGCCAACAGGGCUUGACAUUUGACCCCACAUUACCACCCUGUGGGAUGUGCAGAAGUUGGUGGGGGCAAUUCAGUGGGUCCGAGGGGCCUUGGGAAUUGCCUCCCGGCUUAUGAAACCCUUCUAUGAUCAACUGAAGGAGGUGGACCCGAGAGAACCUCGAGAGCUCACCCAUGAUAUGGCUGCUGCAUGGCAUGAAAUUCUGCAGUGUUGUAUGGUGCAGUCGCUAGCGCGGUGGGACCCCAAUCUAGAUCUUGAAGUAGCAGCGACUCGAUGCGAGGCCGGUACAACUGCCAUUUUGGGCCAUACCCUUGAUGCUAAGCCACGACCUCUGUGGUGGUUGUUUUCAGUGCAGCCUACGUGAGUCUACACUUCCUGGCUUGAGAUCUUAGCAAUGCUGCUCAGGAAGUCCCUAUUGCUAUUGUUGCAGGCCCUGGCAAGAGAACCUCAUGUUAUAUACCUGCAGAGCUCAUUUCGGGACAUGCAGCCGCUCCCUGAAGCCCUUCUUACGGUGUUGCGGGGCUUUGGGGGAAGCACUGUGUACUCUGAUUCGUUACCCAUUUUUGAUUUAGCUAAGCCCCUCAAUGUCUCCCUUCGAUCUCGUGUCCUAACCUCUCUGCUUGAUGGGCCCACCCUGUUCACGGAUGCAUCUUCAACCACCGGACAGGGGCAGGACUCAAGCAACAGUUGGGAGACCGCUGUUUUUACCGAUCAGACAGCUAGUGUGCAAAUGCUUGAGGUGAUGACUGUGGCGGUAGCAGUGCAUUUGUGGUGAGAGAUUCCAUGUAACAUCGUCACUAAUUCUGCUUUCGUGGCCAGACUGCUUGUCUACAUGGAUCAAGAAGGGCAUCUGAGCUCUGAGGCCGCUGGCCUCCUAGAAGAAGCUUUGGCUUCCUGCUCAGCUCCUGUGGCCAUCUUGCAUGUCUGCAGCCAUUCUGAUGUGCCAGGCUUCUUUACAGCAGGGAAUGCUGUAGUGGACAGAGCUGCCCAUACACUUGUUUUCAUGGUUCACGAAGCCCGUGACCUUCAUGCCACCCUUCACAUAGGCGCCCGUGCACUGGCUAGGACAUGUUCCAUUCCUUUGUCUGUUGCACGCGAUGUUGUUCAGGGAUGUCCCCACUGUAAUUCUGCACCUGUAAUAGAGGCUGGAGUUAACCCCCAUGGUCUCGGACCAUUACAAAUUUGACAAACAGAUUUCACUUGGGAACACCAUCUGUCCCCCCACCCUUGGCUUACCAUCACGGUGGAUACUUCCUCCAUUGUCAUCGUAGCCACGCAGCAUGCUAAGUCUAACUUGUCCGUGGCACAAUAUCAUUGGGUUGCUGCCAUUGCUGUGAUGGGCUUGCCUAAUCAGAUUAAGACUGAUAAUGGGUCCUGCUUCAUCUCGUAAAACAUCUUGAGAUGGGAAAAAUAGUAUGGGUACCAUUGCGGAAAGUUAAAUCAGAUGCCAGCAAGGAAAUAACCGGACUAUGAGCCUUCUUGUUCACAGGUUUGGCUCCUGGGGAGGCCUAAACCACAGACAGAGGAGACAAGAGAACAAAAAAAAAGGAGCCGUUCCUGAAAGCUCCUGCUAAGACUGCAGCACAUGCUAAGUAUACAACACUUUUGCUUAUAGUAUCGGCAAUAGGUACUGCUCAGGCCUGGGAAAGCAACGGGUAUGUCAACGUUACCCACGUAAUGGCCCAGCAUUUCAAUUUAUCAGACUGUUGGAUUUGUACUGCCUUACCACGGGGAGGGAACUCCCCUUGCUAGGAGUUCCAGUGCCAUUCAGAAACUGGAGCUUGCCAUGGGACGCGGUGCAAGUACAGUACAUGGGGCGUGGCGAAAGUUUGUAUUGGUUUGUGCGGGCUUCAUGUGGUCUGGCGGGGCACGCAUCCCUACUCCCUAGCGGGGAAACAUUAUGCUGGAGUUUUCAGGACCCCUUGACCUCUUGACCGCCCAAGGUCAUGAAACCAGACGUAGCUUGUUAUCUGAAUACUAGCUCUCCGAGGUUUGAGAUGCUAUCCCCAUGGCCGAACAAUACUGUUGUCCUGGCGCAGAAUGGCAGCUACAGUGUGGGUCAUUUUUCAGCAGUGAACGUUACUUGAUGCCCAAGCUCAGAGCACUGCCCUAGGCCGAUAGUGGUGGCCUUGAGCAAUCCUGGCGGUACCCCACUGGGAUGUCCUCCCAAAGGUCUAUGGUGGCUGUAUGGGGAUGGCCGAGCAAGGAAAAGUGUACCAUCUGAUUGGAGUGGCUCUUGCACCUUGGGAGCCCUCAUUCCAAAUGUUGUCUGGCAUAACUGAUCGGCACCUCCUCCUGGAAUCCUACGAACACACUGGAGGAGAGUGCAGAGGGUUCUGAACCCUGUAGUGGAGAAACCUACUGGUUUACACAGUUUUGCUAGAUGGUUCAUCCCAUCCUUGGGGGUGAGUGAGUUAGAGAAAACGUUUGUUAACAUUUCAGCCACCUUGGAAAUGAUAGAAAAUGCCACCGUUGAUGCAAUCAGGACAUUACAAGGAGAAGUCUCUACACUUAGCAAGGUGGUAUUACAGAAUAGGAUGGCAUUAGACCUCUUAAUGGCAAAAGAAGGAGGAGUCUGUGUGGUAAUAAACCACAGCUGCUGUGCCUAUGUCGAUAAGACUCAGAGGGUAGAGACGGGCAUACAAGCAAUAUGGGAACGGACUAAAUUACUCCAUCAAGUGUCCAUGGACGAUACUUCAUGCGGAUUUCGGGACUUAUGGGAGAAGCUCAUGAGUUGGUUACCUGACUUCACAUGGCUGAAGCAACUCUUCAUCGUUUGUGUCAUCAUAAUGAUCAUACUUAUAUUAAUGUGAGUCACUAUGCGAUGUAUGUUGUGCCUAUGUAUAAAUUCUGGGAAGGGCUAUGGAAAAUGGAAAAAACUCAGGUUAGGGCAGCAACUAAGGUACUUAUAGUUGCCUUGCCUCUAAUUGUAUUAUAUGUAAUAUAAUCGCCAUAUGCUGUAGCAAGUAGACUAGCUUAAAAGACCCAACAUAGCUUGCCAUCCCCUCUGUGUCCUAGGCUGGCGAUCUCGGUGGGUGUUGAUUAAGAAAUUGCAGUCACGCUGUAACGGGGCAAGACUUUACUGAGCAUGGGGAGGGGGAAAUAUUGCAGUAGGCGUUAACGGGGACUCGAGAUGUGACACGAUAGGACCUCCCCUGCUCUGUGAUUUAAAUAUGACAUGUGCUUAGGGAGCGUAGACAAGGCAAGGUGUGUAUUUAAGGAGCUGCCACGCUGUAAUAAACGCCAUUUGCUAUAUCCUCAUAUAGGUGUCUGUGUAGUAAUGGCCCUAGCGAGGGUAGAUUGUUAGCUCCCGGCAGAACGUGCCUGUGAAGCGGGAGCAACAAACGUGCGUGUCGCUAAUGUGCAUAACAGAACUUGCCUUACCCAUGGGUUACCAGGAGGCUAAGAAAAGUAAUCUAACACCUAGGCCAACUUGCAGACUCCUUGGGUAAUUCAUGCCGGACGAGUCACCUCAGCAUGUGCCAGAUUUUCACAUAUAAUAUGAUUACAAGUAAUAAACAAAUCAGUGUUAGAAUUAAUAAAAUCACAACUGGGUGAAGCACAGAAUUAAAAGCUCCUCUUGCUGUUGGUGACCAUCCAAGAAGCAUUUCCCACCAGUGGUGUUCUCCAUCCUUCUUCACCCUUUCUAGGACAUGGUGUAUCUCUUUUGUAUCAUGGUGAACAGUAAUUAGAAUUUUUUUGUCUGUUAUCUCAGAUGCAUUCUAGCAGUUGGUACAGAUCAUCAUGUUGCAGUAAUUUCUUUAAUAAAUCAAGGUUCAUUCCACUUGAUGCAGGUAGCCAAUGUUGGAUUAAUGUGUAAUUGGAUCAUAACAAUUGAUAUGAUGUAACUGCAACUGAAUAAUUAGAGUCACAUCCCAUAAUGUUGGUAAAGUUACAAACACAAACAUUUGAAUGAUUCCUUGUAUCUAUAGUAAUAUUACCUAUGAGUAUAAAAUUACAAGAAGUUCUCAUACACACACAUCCUUUUCCACUAUAGACAAGCACUGUUUCAGGGGUUUCAUUGGGAUACACCUCAAAACAGCAAAUAUUUUGCUUAGUGUCAAGACAAAUGUCUUGAGCCUUGAUGGUAUUACUUUCACAAAUAAAUCCUUGUUGUUCCCAUACAGCAAAUGAACUAACAUUAACAGUUUGCCAUUUGUUUCCAUUUUGCUGGGCCCAUACUGUGUGUUCUAAUGGGUAGAGUAUAAACUAGUUGUGAUUCAGUCCCAGCACAAUGAUUGGGUAUACAAUAUAUACUGAAGCACUGUGUAUUAUUAGGACAAAAGCUAUAGCAUAGUUAUUAACAGGAUCAUAAGUGAAAUUAACUAGAUGCCCCUAAGAUUGAAAUUUUCUUUCAGAUUUGUCUGCAUUGUCCAAGAUCACCUUUUGAAUUUUAGUGUGUAAAGCAUUUCCUUUACCUUCUACAACUAAGAGCUAGGGAGACAUUAUUUUGAGUUAUGGCAAGUAUAUCUACAAUUAACUGGUGGUCUUUUAUAUUUGUUCUUUCCCAUUGAGAUAAUACAUUAGAUAAGAACCGCUGGUUGGUUCCCAGUGCUGAUGGGGAAGACUGGGUUUUGCAAUACACAUAGAUCACCUGUUACAUCCGAUACCCUACCUUUAUUCUAUUCUUUGUCCUACAUUUCCCUGGACUUGGGGAAGUCAGCCAGUACUAUCCUGGCCCCAUUCAUUUCCUGAAUACAUUUCAUUACUGCGCUUAACCACAGUUGAAAGGGUUAAGCCUCUUAGAAUUAGAAUUUGGUCCCAUAUGCCCAACGUAGGCCAAUGUAGGCAUGGGACCAUUACCAGUUAGUGAAUGUGAUAGGGUCAGCAUAAGCAAUUACAAAUAUUAAUCUGAAGAAGAUGCCUGUCCAAAACAGUGACACUGUUGAUGAUACCACAAUGGAUACCACAGGGAUCUCAGGAAAAGGAGCAGGGUGAGAAGGGAACUUGCGAGUCACAGCAUCAGGGUCAGCAUUCAUUAGCAUAUGGAAAACAAAAGAGAGAGAACUUCCUGGUUCCAGAGGAACAAAGGUUAUAGGAGGCAUAGCUGAAAAAGAAAAAAAACAAAACUUUCUAGUCCCAAAUGAACCAAGGUCAAAAGGUAGGUGAAAUCCAGAUGGAUAAUUUUGUACAUUUCCCCUGAUUGUCUUGAGCCUUCCAGAUUUUAUUUUCCAGAUUAACCCUCUUUGAGGGUUAAAGGGACAGAACCAAUGAGGGGCAAAUUAAUUAACACCCGGUUGUCCCGGGGAGUAUUUGUCCGAAUAAGCAGCCCUUUGAGUAAGGGACCACAGGGUGUAAUGGUUGCCAGUAGUGAAAAAUAUUCCAGGUCCUCACAUCCUCCAGACUUUCUCCUGGAUACAAGUCACUGCCUGGGCAACUAGCAUUAAUCUCCCUCUCAUUUACUAUCUGUUCUCUAAGGGCUUGGUUAAAGGAUGACUUUUGAAUGUUUUUCUUUCUCUAACUGUCCCCUAAGGUCUUCUACUUGGCCCUGCAGGUAUGUGACCAGUUCCUGCAAGGACUGAAUAAUUUGAAUUUCUGCCAUGUGCUACUGGUUGGGGAUCUCUACAUCAGCAGUAAGAGCAGCUCCUAGAACUGCACAAAUGGUUGAUUUUCCCUUUCCCUCCUCCAUACGAGUUGUUUGUGGAGGGAAUUUAUAUGAACUGUGACUCCUUCUAAGUUGGACCAGCUAUUCUGUUCCCACCCUAUCCCCACAGGGGAGGGUUUGGCACCAUUUUUUUAAAGAGGUUGAAAAGCGGAUAUCCACCUUUUUUUUUUUUUUUUUUUUUUUUUCCCCAAUGAUCAUGCCUCAAAAUGUGGAGCAAUCUCUUCAGGGGAAAGGAGGAACAUGUAAUAUCCACAACUCAACAAUUUCCUUCUUACACCCCCGAAGGAUCAACUUCCUACUUUUUUCUACCAAUAACGCAUUUGUUGCUACCACCUGGACACAUUGAGGCCAACCUCGAGAUAGAGGGUCUAAUAGCUUAGACAAUUAUGAGUAGAUUUUCUUUUGUUCCCCCCAUUCUUGUGUUAGAACUUCUAGAGUAGCUCCUUCAUUGACACUUAACAAAAAGGUGAGAAGUUUUUUUCAGGGCAGGCAGUUCUAACACUGGUGCUGUGAUUAAGUCCCAUUUUGAUACUUCUACUAAUUCUUUUUCCCCUUUUGUUCAUUUUAAUAUGUUGGGUUCUCCCUCUGAUAGUUUGAGAUACAAUCUCUUUGUCUUUUUGUGCAUAUGCUUCUAUUUGUAAUUGACAGAAUCCAAUUAAACCUAAAAACUUUUGCAACUCCCCCUUUGUUCUGGGCAGAGAAAGCUGCAAAAUUUCCUGAAUUCCUUCAGGAUUUAUUCUGCAUUUCCCUUCAGAAAUCACAUGCCCAAGGUAUCUGACUUCUUUUUCCACAUACUGCAGUUUAUUUUUAGAUACCCUUAGCCCACAUUCCUCCAAGAAGUUCAAGAGUUUACUUGUAGUCUUUUUUACUUUAGAGUCCUCUUUGCCACAAAUCAGCAAAUCAUCUACAUACUGUAACAACUUUACCCCCUCUUCAACCUGAAACUUUUUCAAAACUUUCUCCAGCACUUGUCUGCAUAGAUUAGGUGAUUCUGUGAACCCCCGGUGUAAAACAAUCCACAUAUAUUGCUGCUUUCAUCCCAUUUCUGGGUCCUCCCAUUCAAAGGCAAAAAGAUCUCGACUCUCUGAGUCCAAAGGGCAGGUCCAGAAAGCAUCUUUUAAGUUUAUUAUACUAAACCAUUUUUGUUUGUGUGGGAUCUGACUCAUUAGAGUAUAGGGGUCAGGAACUACAGGGUGCACUUGAGAACUAUUUCAUUAAUUUUUCUUAGACCUUGCACCAGUCAAUACGUGCCAUCUGCCUUCUGUACUGACAAAACUGGAGUGUUAAAGGGUGACAUACAGAGUUCCAGAAGACCAUCUCUAACCAAUGCCUAUAUUAUAGGUUUUAGACCCAUUAUCCCUUCUAAAGGUAUGGGAUAUUGUCACAGUUUCACAGCUUCACGUCCUCCUUGGACAGUUAUUUUUAAGGGAGUAACUGUGAGUCUACCCCAGUUUCUUUCCCCUGCCCACACCACUGGAUUUAUUUCUUUUUAUCAUCAGCUGUUAACAAAUUCAUUGAUACCUUUAUACCUGUUCCACACGUUUUCAACUGCAAUCCUAAUGUAACUGUUAAAUCUCUCCCCAAUAAAUUGGUCCCUGCUUCUGGCAAAUUUAACAAUUUCUCUGUGACUAUUUUAUCUUCCUAUUUUAAUUCAGCAUUCUCAAAAAUUGAAACUAUAAUUCCUGAUCCCUGUACCCCUGUUAUUCUUAAAAUGUUCCCAUUUAAAUUAAGUCCUGGUAUUUUAUAAGUUUCAGAUGACCAAGUAUUAAUCAAACUGUUUUGCUAAUCCAAUAGGGUCUUCCAUUAAACAUUUCAUUUUCUUUUAAAAUUUCUCACCCCACUAGUAAGUGGGGAGUUUACAUAUCCUAUAUCUCCUGGUAACAUCGGAACUUCCCUAAGAGGAUACAUGUAAGUGUUAGUGGGGUUAAUGGAGUUAGAUUUAGGAAAGGGGAAAUUUAUAAUAUUCCCUUUGCAUUGUUCCAAUUCACAGAUCUCUGUUCAGAUGGAUGAUGAUUUGAGCCAAUACCCUCCACUCUGUCAGCUGUCUGCAGUCUCCCUGCUGUAGUUACAGGACUUGACUCAAGGACAGGAUGCCAGCAUGUAUGAUAAGAAAAAAGAUUCUGCAGUGUAAGACUUCAACUAUGACUUCUUAUUGUUUGAGAAGAUGGACCGGGGAAAUGGAAAUCUGCCAAGAACCGAGUGAAUUUUGCUGAAGUAUUUAGUUGUCAGGAACGAAUGGAAAAUACAUCUGGCAAGCCACAGGAAAGACUCAAACCUCUGUGGAGCUUUCUGUAAAUUUAUCUUAAGCAGUGCUCAAAAUAGAAUUCAAUAAAAGCAGUUCAAUCCCUCAUUUCAUCUAUGUAUGUUUGCACAACUAAAUGAAAAUGGUAAGAUGAAAUACUGACAGUGGUCACUAUCAACAGCUGGAGGUCAAUAAAGAAGAAGCUUUUGGAAAUUCUAUCAAGAAAUGAAAACCAGGAAUAUAUAAAUACUGCCAGGAAAUAUCUUACUGAGCUGCUACACAAUACAGAAAUCUCUGCAAUGCAAUUUCAGUUCAGGUCACUUCCUAUUCUACAUACUUCUCUAUUGUUUACUUUUCUGAAACAUAAUAUAUCUGAUGUGAUUUCAAGUGUAACUUUUCAGACACAGUGAAGAAAAUAUUGCAUUGAACUAUGUUACCUACAGCACCACAUCCUCCACAAUGAAAGAAAAAAAGUUACAGCUAUUGUGUGCAUCUGCCGUGCAGGGUAGCAUUAUCAGCACUCAUGCCCUUGGCAUAACCCAGGAGACUGGAGGAAUGUAAGAUCUCAAUUAAAAACAGCAAUUUCUACAGUGAACUCAGCUGAGAAUGAUAAAAGAUUUAGAAACCAGAAGAUAUCAAAACAAAUAUUUC